UACGUAGGGGGCAAGCGUUGUCCGGAUUUAUUGGGCGUAAAGAGCGUGUAGGCGGCUGGGUAGGUCCGUUGUGAAAACUCGAGGCUCAACCUCGAGACGCCGAUGGAAACCCUCCAGCUAGAGUCCGGAAGAGGAGAGUGGAAUUCCUGGUGUAGCGGUGAAAUGCGCAGAUAUCAGGAGGAACACCGAUUGCGAAGGCAGCUCGCUGGGACGUAACUGACGCUGAGACGCGAAAGCGUGGGGAGCAAACAGG
This 253-nucleotide ribosomal RNA is filed under the name uncultured bacterium. RNAcentral describes it as "partial 16S ribosomal RNA". It matches the Rfam family "Bacterial small subunit ribosomal RNA", at positions 524 to 776 of the family's 1533-position model. The record is from RNAcentral.